RNAcentral lists this ribosomal RNA (253 nucleotides) under uncultured bacterium. RNAcentral's name for it is "partial 16S ribosomal RNA". It matches the Rfam family "Bacterial small subunit ribosomal RNA", at positions 524 to 776 of the family's 1533-position model. The record is from RNAcentral.
CACGUAGGGCGCAAGCGUUGUCCGGAAUUAUUGGGCGCAAAGAGCUCGUAGGCGGUCUGUUGCGUCCGCUGUGAAAACCCAGGGCUUAACCCUGGGCUGGCAGUGGAUACGGACAGACUAGAGGUAGGUAGGGGAGAAUGGAAUUCCCGGUGUAGCGGUGAAAUGCGCAGAUAUCGGGAGGAACACCGGUGGCGAAGGCGGUUCUCUGGGCCUUACCUGACGCUGAGGAGCGAAAGCGUGGGGAGCGAACAGG